CCUACGGGAGGCAGCAGUGGGGAAUAUUGGGCAAUGGGCGCAAGCCUGACCCAGCAACGCCGCGUGAAGGAAGAAGGCUUUCGGGUUGUAAACUUCUUUUCUCAGGGACGAAGCAAGUGACGGUACCUGAGGAAUAAGCCACGGCUAACAACGUGCCAGCGGCCGCGGUAAUACGUAGGUGGCAAGCGUUAUCCGGAUUUACGGGGUGUAAAGGGCGUGUAGGCGGGACUGCAAGUCAGAUGUGAAAACCAUGGGCUCAACCUAUGGCCUGCAUUUGAAACUGUAGUUCUUGAGUACUGGAGAGGCAGGCGGAAUGCCUGGUGUAGCGGUGAAAUGCGUAGAUAUUAGGAGGAACACCAGUGGCGAAGGCGGUCGGCUGGACAGCAACUGACGCUGAGGCGCGAAAGCGUGGGGAGCAAACAGGAUUAGAUACCCGUGUAGUC
RNAcentral lists this ribosomal RNA (443 nucleotides) under uncultured bacterium. RNAcentral describes it as "partial 16S ribosomal RNA". It matches the Rfam family "Bacterial small subunit ribosomal RNA", at positions 338 to 795 of the family's 1533-position model. The record is from RNAcentral.